AGGCAGGGGGCGGGGCAACGGCCCACCAAACCGACGAAGGAGAGGGGAACAGAGAGGAAGGCCCCCCACAGAGGACAGAGACACGGCCCAAACCCCGACGGGAGGCAGCAGUAGGGAAUUUUCGUUCAAUGGGGGAAACCUUGAACGAGCAAUGCCGCGUGAGUGAAGAAGGUCUUCGGAUCGUAAAGCUCUGUUGUAAGUGAAGAACGGCUCAUAGUGGAAAUGCUAUGGGAGUGACGGUAGCUUACCAGAAAGCCACGGCUAACUACGUGCCAGCAGCCGCGGUAAUACGUAGGUGGCAAGCGUUAUCCGGAAUCAUUGGGCGUAAAGGGUGCGUAGGUGGCGUACUAAGUCUGUAGUAAAAGGCAAUGGCUCAACCAUUGUAAGCUAUGGAAACUGGUAUGCUGGAGUGCAGAAGAGGGCGAUGGAAUUCCAUGUGUAGCGGUAAAAUGCGUAGAUAUAUGGAGGAACACCAGUGGCGAAGGCGGUCGCCUGGUCUGUAACUGACACUGAGGCACGAAAGCGUGGGGAAAGGAUAGGAUUAGAUACCCUAGUAGUCCACCCCGUAAAACGAUGAGGAACAUAAGGUGGGAGGAAUUCAGUGCGGCAGUUAACGCAAUAAAGUUCUCCCGCCUGGGGAGUAUGCACGCAAGUGUGAAACUCAAAGGAAUUGGACGGGGGCCCGCACAAGCGGUGGAGUAUGUGGUUUAAUUCGAAGCAACGCGAAGAACCUUACCAGGCCUUGACAUGGAAACAAAUACCCUAAAGAUAGGGGGAUAAUUAUGGAUCACACAGGUGGUGCAUGGUUGUCGUCAGCUCGUGUCGUGAGAUGUUGGGUUAAGUCCCGCAACGAGCGCAACCCUUGUCGCAUGUUACCAGCAUCAAGUUGGGGACUCAUGCGAGACUGCCGGUGACAAACCGGAGGAAGGUGGGGAUGACGUCAAAUCAUCAUGCCCCUUAUGGCCUGGGCUACACACGUACUACAAUGGCGACCACAAAGAGCAGCGACACAGUGAUGUGAAGCGAAUCUCAUAAAGGUCGUCUCAGUUCGGAUUGAAGUCUGCAACUCGACUUCAUGAAGUCGGAAUCGCUAGUAAUCGCAGAUCAGCAUGCUGCGGUGAAUACGUUCUCGGGCCUUGCACAAACCGCCCGUC
This 1154-nucleotide ribosomal RNA is filed under the name uncultured bacterium. RNAcentral's name for it is "bacterial SSU rRNA". It matches the Rfam family "Bacterial small subunit ribosomal RNA", at positions 243 to 1398 of the family's 1533-position model. The record is from RNAcentral.